UGGAGCAGCUCGGUAGCUCGCUGGGCUCAUAACCCAGAGGUCGCAGGUUCGAAUCCUGU
This 59-nucleotide transfer RNA is filed under the name Saccharopolyspora erythraea D. RNAcentral's name for it is "tRNA-Met". It matches the Rfam family "tRNA", at positions 8 to 63 of the family's 71-position model. Rfam says of the family: Transfer RNA (tRNA) molecules are approximately 80 nucleotides in length. Their secondary structure includes four short double-helical elements and three loops (D, anti-codon, and T loops). The record is from RNAcentral. Lineage: Bacteria; Bacillati; Actinomycetota; Actinomycetes; Pseudonocardiales; Pseudonocardiaceae.